GGGGACGUAACAAAGCGACCCAGGAAUGCUUGGGCGUGCCUCCACCCACGCCGGCGUCGGCGGGCGUAUUUCGCCUCACAGUAGGUCGCCGCGACCCGUUGCUUUUGGGGACGUCGAAGGCCCGGACGGAUUGGUACCCUACCGGCUGGGGAUGCGGCUUCGGCUUCUCCUCUUGUCCGGUGGGCGAAACCGCCGGUGUCCUGGCUGCCCUGCGACGGUCGUAGAGACGAGCCCUCCCCUUCGGGGGGGCGGCUCUCGCGGCGUGCAAAAGGUCGGUGAUCCACCCGACCCGUCUUGAAACACGGACCAAGGAGUCUAACAUGUGUGCGAGUCAGUGGGCGCACUAAACCCAGAGGCGUAAUGAAAGUGACACGGGCUCGGCUGUCGCCUCGUGUGGCAGCCGGACUCAGGGCCGAUCCCUCACCGGUUGUCCUCGCCUCUCUCCCGCGUCUCGGUAAGCCGGGUGAGCUAUUUUCCCCGGCCGCUGCUGCGGGGCUCGGGGGAAGGCGGGGUGCGAUGGUGUCUGUAAAAAAGAGCCUGCUGUUGCAGGGGGGCGCAGGCCCGGGACUUGCCAGGACGCCGCGAGACUGUCACUUUGCUGUGAGGCUCUCGGGCCGAUCAGCGGGUCAUGCGUGCAGUCGGCAAGUACCAUGAGCAGACAUGUUGGGACCCGAAAGAUGGUGAACUAUGCCUGGCCAGGAUGAAGCCAGAGGAAACUCUGGUGGAGGUCCGUAGCGAUUCUGACGUGCAA
Molecule: ribosomal RNA, 751 nt
Filed under: Fallicambarus danielae
Lineage: Eukaryota; Metazoa; Arthropoda; Malacostraca; Decapoda; Cambaridae
Description: partial 28S ribosomal RNA
Rfam family: Eukaryotic large subunit ribosomal RNA (bases 306-751)
Source: RNAcentral